AGAGUUGAUCAUGGCUCAGAACGAACGCUGGCGGCAGGCUUAACACAUGCAAGUUGAACGGGAUUGCUAGUGCUUGCACCAAGCAAUGAGAGUAGCGCACUGGUGAGUAACACGUGGGAACAUGCCUUUUGGUGGGGGACAACAGGAGGAAACUUCUGCUAAUACCGCAUAAGCCCUGAGGGGGAAAGAAUUUUUGCCGAAAGAUUGGCCCGCGGAAGAUUAGGUAGUUGGUGGGGUAAAGGCCUACCAAGCCGACGAUCUAUAGCUGGUCUGAGAGGACGAACAGCCACAUUGGAACUGAGACACGGUCCAGACUCCUACGGGAGGCAGCAGUGAGGAAUAUUGGGCAAUGGAGGAAACUCUGACCCAGCCCAUGCCGCGUGAGUGAAGAAGGUUUUCGAAUUGUAAAGCUCUUUCGGAUGUGACGAUGAUGACGGUAACAUCUAAAGAAGCCCCGGCAAACUUCGUGCCAGCAGCUGC
Molecule: ribosomal RNA, 480 nt
Filed under: uncultured bacterium
Lineage: Bacteria
Description: bacterial SSU rRNA
Rfam family: Bacterial small subunit ribosomal RNA
Source: RNAcentral